Molecule: long non-coding RNA, 503 nt
Organism: Amblyraja radiata (thorny skate)
Lineage: Eukaryota; Metazoa; Chordata; Chondrichthyes; Rajiformes; Rajidae
Exons: 3
Source: RefSeq, a predicted model, not a curated record
CUAUAUUAGGAAUUUUGUGAGUGUCCUUCUUAUUGAAGACGGAUCCUAAGUACCUGUUCAACUGAUCUGCCAUUUCCUUGUUCCCCAUAAUAAAUUCAACUUUUUCAGUCUUCAAGGGUCCAACUUUGGUCUUUACCAAUGUUUUCCUCUUUACAUACCUAAAGAAGCUUUUACUAUUCUCUUUUAUAUUCUUGUCUAGCUUACUUUCGGACCUCAUCUUUUGUCCCUGUAUUGUCUUUUUAGUUAUCUUCUGUUGCUCCUUAAACAUUACCCAAUCCUCUUGCUUCCCGCUCAUCUUUGUUAUGUUGUACUUCUUAUCUUUUACAUUUAAAUUGUCCCUGACGUCUCUUGUCAGCCACGGUCGCCCCUUACUCCCCUUGGAAACUUUCUUCGUAUUUGGAAAGAAUUGAUCCUAAACCUUCUGUAUUAUUCCCAGAAAUACCUACCAUUGUUGUUCCACUGUCAUCCCUGCUAGGAUAUCUUUCCAGUCAACUUUGGCCAGC